This 406-nucleotide ribosomal RNA is filed under the name uncultured bacterium. Its description in RNAcentral is "bacterial SSU rRNA". It matches the Rfam family "Bacterial small subunit ribosomal RNA", at positions 355 to 776 of the family's 1533-position model. The record is from RNAcentral.
UGGGGAAUAUUGGGCAAUGGGCGAAAGCCUGACCCAGCAACGCCGCGUGAGGGAAGAAGGUUUUCGGAUUGUAAACCUCUGUCCUCAGCGAAGAGCAGGAGACGGUAACUGAGGAGGAAGCCCCGGCUAACUACGUGCCAGCAGCCGCGGUAAUACGUAGGGGGCGAGCGUUGUCCGGAAUGAUUGGGCGUAAAGGGCGCGUAGGCGGCCUGUUAAGUCUGGAGUGAAAGUCCUGCCUUCAAGGUGGGAAUUGCUUUGGAUACUGGCGGGCUUGAGUGCAGGAGAGGUUAUCGGAAUUCCCGGUGUAGCGGUGAAAUGCGUAGAGAUCGGGAGGAACACCAGUGGCGAAGGCGGGUAACUGGACUGCAACUGACGCUGAGGCGCGAAAGUGUGGGGAGCAAACAGG